GAUAAACGCUGGCGGCGUGCCUAGCACAUGCAAGUCGAACGAUCCCGCAAGGGAGAGUGGCGGAAGGGUGAGUAACACGUGGGAAUCUACCUCCUCGCAGGGAACAACCUCUCGAAAGAGAGGCUAAUACCCAAAAGGGUCAGAAAUGAUCAGAGUCGAAAGGCGUGAGGAGAGGAGCCCGCGGCCCAUCAGCUAGUUGGUGAGGUAAUGGCUUACCAAGGCUACGACGGGUAGGGGAUCUGAGAGGAUGUCCCCACACUGGAACUGAAACACGGUCCAGACGCCUACGGGUGGCAGCAGUGAGGAAUAUGGACAAUGGGCGAAAGCCCGAUCCAGCAACGCCGCGUGGAGGAUGAA
This 357-nucleotide ribosomal RNA is filed under the name uncultured bacterium. RNAcentral's name for it is "bacterial SSU rRNA". It matches the Rfam family "Bacterial small subunit ribosomal RNA", at positions 28 to 412 of the family's 1533-position model. The record is from RNAcentral.